CGCCCAGCUAUGUCUGUCUGACCCAGCUGUACUCUCUGGACAUAAAAAGCAGAAAGUGCGACUGGAUCGGAUCGGUAUGGUUGGGAU
RNAcentral lists this microRNA precursor (87 nucleotides) under Ornithorhynchus anatinus (platypus). Its description in RNAcentral is "mir-1420 microRNA precursor family". It matches the Rfam family "mir-1420 microRNA precursor family". Lineage: Eukaryota; Metazoa; Chordata; Mammalia; Monotremata; Ornithorhynchidae. The record is from Rfam by way of RNAcentral.